Molecule: non-coding RNA, 74 nt
Organism: Phrynosoma platyrhinos (Desert horned lizard)
Lineage: Eukaryota; Metazoa; Chordata; Lepidosauria; Squamata; Phrynosomatidae
Source: the annotation of a GenBank genome assembly
GUCAGCGUGGGAUAGUGGUGUGAGUGUUGGACUAUGACUCUGGAGACCAGGGUUUGAUUCCCAGCUAGGUGACU